GCCCCGGCCUAACUACGUGCCAGCAGCCGCGGUAAUACGUAGGGGGCGAGCGUUGUCCGGAAUUAUUGGGCGUAAAGGGUACGUAGGCGGACUUGAAAGUUUGACGUGAAAGCCCGGGGCUUAACCCCCGGCGAGCGUUAAAAACUACAGGCCUUGAGUGGUAGAAGGGAUCGUGGAAUUCCUGGUGUAGUGGUGAAAUGCGCAGAGAUCAGGAAGAAUACCAGUGGCGAAGGCGACUGUCUGGACAUUAACUGACGCUGAGGUACGAAAGCGUGGGGAGCAAACAGGAUCAGAUACCCUGGUAGUCCACGCUGUAAACGAUGAGUGCAAGGUGUUGGGGGUCAAACCUCGGUGCCGCCGUUAACACAGUAAGCACUCCGCCUGGGGAGUACGUACGCA
This 399-nucleotide ribosomal RNA is filed under the name uncultured bacterium. RNAcentral's name for it is "bacterial SSU rRNA". It matches the Rfam family "Bacterial small subunit ribosomal RNA", at positions 490 to 890 of the family's 1533-position model. The record is from RNAcentral.